Molecule: long non-coding RNA, 1172 nt
Organism: Homo sapiens (human)
Lineage: Eukaryota; Metazoa; Chordata; Mammalia; Primates; Hominidae
Gene: RRAGC-DT
Product: RRAGC divergent transcript
Source: Ensembl
CUCAGCCCUCCGCCCCGGCCCGCAUACAACGCUGUCUGCACCGCUCCCCUGCCUUCUUCCGGGCUCCCAGAGCACCGCUAUGGAGAUGCUCUCCCGGCAUUUGAGGAAGAAUUGAUUGUCCUCAUCCUGCAACUGUACUUGCCCAACCGAUAUUUAUUGAUGCCUGCAGUGUCCUGGGUGCCUACCAAGGGGCACAGAACUGGAUCCGACGCAGACCCUGCCUGCCUUCAGGUUGCUUGAAGAUGAACAGAGAGAUCGGACCUCUGCAGAGAAGAAAGGCUUCCUGUCUCUCAUCUCUGGGACUGGCAGUGGCUGCACCAGCGACAGCCAGCAGCAGUGGCUGGCAGAUCCACACCAGCAGAGACGAAGCUGAGCAACAGCUCUGGAGUGAUGGCAAGAAGACCCAAGGCACUGUGGUACCUGUUGUCAACACUCAGAUUCUGUAACCUGUAUCAGAGGAAGAUGGAGUGACCUCUGGUGGCCUAAGAAAAGCCACCACCAUGCCCAUACCAUGUGGAGAGCUAGGAAGGGAGGUCUCUACUGUCUUGUCCUGUCUUAGUGGGUACAACUGUGGUUUGUCAGGAAAAGGUGGCUGGCAGGGGGAACAGUUGCUACUACCUCGUUGUUCUGCCUUUGCUCUGUGAUCCUUUGACACUCAUGGCAUUCAGUUAUACCUCUCUUUUUCUACCUUUAAUUUGUCAUCCUCUGCCAACUCUCUAUUCACGCUCCCUCAAAAGUAACACAGUAUAUUGGCUAAGUUCAUGGACUCCAAAGUUGGACUUUUUUUUUUUUUUUGAGACAGAGUCUCACUCUGUCGCCUAAGCUGGAGUGCAAUGGCGCAAUCUCGGCUCACUGCAACCUGCCUCCACCUCCUAGGUUCAAGCGAUUCUCCUGCUUCAGCCUCCCGAGUACCUGGGACUACAGGCAUGUGCCACCACACCCGGCUAAUUUUUUAUUUUUAGUAGAGACGGAGUUUCACCAUGUCGGUCAGGCUGGUCUCGAACUCCUGACCCCAGGUGAUCCGUCUGCCUCGGUCUCCCAAAGUGCUGGGAUUACAGGCGUGAGCCACAGUGCCCGGCCCAAACUUGGACUUUUUUAAUCCUCACCCCAUUCCUUACUACUGUAUAGUCUUGGAUGAAUUACAGAAACUCCCCAUUCCUUAGUUUUCUCUU